UCAUCUUCGGGGGUAGAGCACUGUUUCGACUAGGGGGUCAUCCCGACUUACCAACUCGAUGCAAACUGCGAAUACCGAAGAAUGUUAUCACGGGAGACACACGGCGGGUGCUAACGUCCGUCGUGAAGAGGGAAACAACCCAGACCGCCAGCUAAGGUCCCAAAGUCAUGGUUAAGUGGGAAACGAAGUGGGAAGGCUCAGACAGCCAGGAUGUUGGCUUAGAAGCAGCCAUCAUUUAAAGAAAGCGUAAUAGCUCACUGGUCGAGUCGGCCCGCGCGGAAGAUGUAACGGGGCUAAACCAUGCACCGAAGCUGCGGCAGCGACACAAAGUGUUGUUGGGUAGGGGAGCGUUCUGUAAGCCUGCGAAGGUGUACUGUGAGGUAUGCUGGAGGUAUCAGAAGUGCGAAUGCUGACAUAAGUAACGAUAAUGCGGGUGAAAAACCCGCACGCCGGAAGACCAAGGGUUCCUGUCCAACGUUAAUCGGGGCAGGGUGAGUCGACCCCUAAGGCGAGGCUGAAAAGCGUAGUCGAUGGGAAACGGGUUAAUAUUCCCGUACUGGUGGUAACUGCGAUGGGGGAACGGAGAAGGCUAGGUUGUCCGGGCGACGGUCGUCCCGGUUCAAGCAGGUAGGCAGAGUGAUUAGGCAAAUCCGGUCACUUAAUGCUGAGAUGUGAUGACGAACCACUAAGGUGGUGAAGCAAUUGAUGCCCCGCUUCCAGGAAAAGCCUCUAAGCUUCAGGUUACCAACAAUCGUACCCCAAACCGACACAGGUGGUCAGGUAGAGAAUACUCAGGCGCUUGAGAGAACUCGGGUGAAGGAACUAGGCAAAAUGGUGCCGUAACUUCGGGAGAAGGCACGCUGGCGGUAGGUAAAGUCCCU
RNAcentral lists this ribosomal RNA (881 nucleotides) under Proteus mirabilis. Its description in RNAcentral is "partial 23S ribosomal RNA". It matches the Rfam family "Bacterial large subunit ribosomal RNA", at positions 890 to 1770 of the family's 2925-position model. The record is from RNAcentral. Lineage: Bacteria; Pseudomonadati; Pseudomonadota; Gammaproteobacteria; Enterobacterales; Morganellaceae.